Molecule: long non-coding RNA, 516 nt
Filed under: Homo sapiens (human)
Lineage: Eukaryota; Metazoa; Chordata; Mammalia; Primates; Hominidae
Description: non-protein coding FAM111A-DT:30
Source: RNAcentral
CUUACUGAAACCUCCAUCUCCCAGGUUCAAGCGAUUCUCAUGCCUCAGCCACUUGAGUAGCUGGGACUACAGGAUUUCGCCAUGUUCCCCAGGCUGGUCUCAAACUCCUGAACUCAGGCAGCCCGCCUACCUUGGCCUCCCAAAGUGCUAGGAUUACAGCCCAAAUGACCCUCCAAGACCCUCUGGAGGCACCCGCAGUGCUCCUUAAUUUGCAGCUCUACAGAAUGAGACCAGCGUGGCAGCCCCCUUUCAGGACAGCUCCCGAGACGAGACGCGAGAGCAGCCCCUAAAUCUCACCCAGCAAAGCCGUUUCUUCCUAACCGGGCUGGGGAGUGCCGCGCGCUGCCAGCAGAUGGCGACAGAGGAUUAGCCUGCGGAAACCGGGUAAGGGGAGGGCGGAGCUGAGGUGAGAACCCACAUCCCUCAUGCCCAGUGGCAGCAGGACGUGGAAAUGGUUUGCCCAGCCCUCACUUCUCUUGGACAGAGCUUGAGCCUUCUGGGAAACUGCUUUUCCCU